RNAcentral lists this ribosomal RNA (497 nucleotides) under uncultured bacterium. Its description in RNAcentral is "partial 16S ribosomal RNA". It matches the Rfam family "Bacterial small subunit ribosomal RNA", at positions 28 to 507 of the family's 1533-position model. The record is from RNAcentral.
GAUGAACGCUGGCGGCGUGCCUAAUACAUGCAAGUCGAGCGAACAGACGAGGAGCUUGCUCCUCUGACGUUAGCGGCGGACGGGUGAGUAACACGUGGAUAACCUACCUAUAAGACUGGGAUAACUUCGGGAAACCGGAGCUAAUACCGGAUAAUAUAUUGAACCGCAUGGUUCAAUAGUGAAAGACGGUUUUGCUGUCACUUAUAGAUGGAUCCGCGCCGCAUUAGCUAGUUGGUAAGGUAACGGCUUACCAAGGCAACGAUGCGUAGCCGACCUGAGAGGGUGAUCGGCCACACUGGAACUGAGAAACGGUCCAGACUCCUACGGGAGGCAGCAGUAGGGAAUCUUCCGCAAUGGGCGAAAGCCUGACGGAGCAACGCCGCGUGAGUGAUGAAGGGCUUCGGAUCGUAAAACUCUGUUAUUAGGGAAGAACAAAUGUGUAAGUAACUAUGCACGUCUUGACGGUACCUAAUCAGAAAGCCACGGCUAACUACGUG